RNAcentral lists this ribosomal RNA (253 nucleotides) under uncultured bacterium. RNAcentral's name for it is "partial 16S ribosomal RNA". It matches the Rfam family "Bacterial small subunit ribosomal RNA", at positions 524 to 776 of the family's 1533-position model. The record is from RNAcentral.
UACGAAGGGGGCUAGCGUUGUUCGGAAUUACUGGGCGUAAAGCGCGCGCAGGCGGCUAUCCAAGUCAGUGGUGAAAGCCCGGAGCUCAACUCCGGAACUGCCAUUGAAACUGUUUAGCUUGAGUAUGAGAGAGGUGAGUGGAAUUCCCAGUGUAGAGGUGAAAUUCGUAGAUAUUGGGAAGAACACCGGUGGCGAAGGCGGCUCACUGGCUCAUUACUGACGCUCAGGCGCGAUAGCGUGGGGAUCAAACAGG